GCAGUUGGUAGCUCAGUGGUAAAGUGCAUGCUUUGUAUGUAUGAUGUCUUGGGUUGAAUCCCCAGCUUCUCCU
Molecule: transfer RNA, 73 nt
Filed under: Dallia pectoralis (Alaska blackfish)
Lineage: Eukaryota; Metazoa; Chordata; Actinopteri; Esociformes; Umbridae
Description: tRNA-OTHER
Rfam family: tRNA (bases 8-66)
About the family: Transfer RNA (tRNA) molecules are approximately 80 nucleotides in length. Their secondary structure includes four short double-helical elements and three loops (D, anti-codon, and T loops). Further hydrogen bonds mediate the characteristic L-shaped molecular structure. tRNAs have two regions of fundamental functional importance: the anti-codon, which is responsible for specific mRNA codon recognition, and the 3' end, to which the tRNAs corresponding amino acid is attached (by aminoacyl-tRNA synthetases). tRNAs cope with the degeneracy of the genetic code in two manners: having more than one tRNA (with a specific anti-codon) for a particular amino acid; and 'wobble' base-pairing, i.e. permitting non-standard base-pairing at the 3rd anti-codon position.
Source: RNAcentral